RNAcentral lists this ribosomal RNA (447 nucleotides) under uncultured Anaerolineaceae bacterium. RNAcentral's name for it is "bacterial SSU rRNA". It matches the Rfam family "Bacterial small subunit ribosomal RNA", at positions 28 to 480 of the family's 1533-position model. The record is from RNAcentral. Lineage: Bacteria; Bacillati; Chloroflexota; Anaerolineae; Anaerolineales; Anaerolineaceae.
GAUGAACGCUGGCGGCGUGCCUAAUACAUGCAAGUCGAACGGAGAUUCUGUCGUAAUUCGUUACAGCGGAAAUCUCAGUGGCGAACGGGUGAGUAACGCGUUGGUGACCUGCCCCGGAGAGGGGGAUAACAGCUUGAAAGGGCUGCUAAUACCCCAUGAUGUCUAUAGGGUUAGAAACUUAUAGACGAAAGGCUUCGGUUGCUUCGGGAGGGGCCUGCGUCCCAUCAGCUAGUUGGUAGGGUAAUGGCCUACCAAGGCGAAGACGGGUAGGGGACCUGAGAGGGUGACCCCCCACAAUGGAACUGAAACACGGUCCAUACACCUACGGGUGGCAGCAGUAGGGAAUAUUGCACAAUGGGCGAAAGCCUGAUGCAGCAACGCCGCGUGCGCGAAGAAGGCCUUCGGGUUGUAAAGCGCUUUUCGGGGAGAAGAGGAAGGACGGUUCCC